Long non-coding RNA from Danio aesculapii, 740 nucleotides. RefSeq lists it as uncharacterized. The transcript has 3 exons. The record is from RefSeq and is a predicted model, not a curated record. Lineage: Eukaryota; Metazoa; Chordata; Actinopteri; Cypriniformes; Danionidae.
UGUGUGUGUGUGUGUGUGUGUGUGGGUUUUUGUGAUUUGAGAGGACAUUUCAUAUGAAUACACGCCACACUACGAGGACAUUUUUUAUUAUGAGGACAGUGCCGGUGUCCUCAUAAUUCAAGCAAUGUAGAAGUGCUUCUACAUGUGUAAGGAGCUCAAAUUCAAAUUUUCUCCAAAAGUCCAUAUAGUUCACAAUCAUCAGACUUUGUGUUAACAGUGUGUAUCGGAACUGCGCCCCUGUAGGUGGGUCUUGGUACUGGACCUCCUUAUGAAUAUUCACAUGUGUGUAUGGAAUCGCGGGUUUUGAUUGGCUGACGGGUGAGAAGUCCUCAUAAAUUCGGGUUUUGUCUAAGCGCUGUGUUUUACGCUAUUCACACAAAGGACGAUAACGAUAAAGAUAUGUUUGUAAAAUCGUUCUAAAUAUAAAGGAAUAACAAAGUCCACACCACAACAAUAAAAAUUAAAACACAGAGAAGCAAUAUCAUUGGAAUCAUUUUCUUCCACCUCCUCCACCUCCGACCGAGUCACUUCCGGCUGAGAUAAUGAGCGCGCCACUCUGAAGACACUUAAGGAAAUGGCAGCAACAUGGUCCUGGAGGGCUAAACUAAAACCAAAAGAUGAAGCUGCAUAUUUUUCAUCCAUGCUCAAAGAUAAGGAUGGAUUUGAAAUAAAAUAUAUAAAUUCAUUUAAAGGUUUGUUCUGAGACUGAACAACAGGAGCAUGCUUUGGUCAGCUGUGCA